AGGACGAACGCUGGCGGCGUGCUUAACACAUGCAAGUCGAGCGGAAAGGCCCUUCGGGGUACUCGAGCGGCGAACGGGUGAGUAACACGUGAGUAACCUGCCCUUGGCUCCGGGAUAGCUCCGGGAAACCGGAAUUAAUACCGGAUAUGACUGCGGCCGACAUCGGCUGUGGUGGAAAGAUUUAUCGGCCAGGGAUGGGCUCGCGGCCUAUCAGCUUGUUGGUGGGGUAACGGCCUACCAAGGCGACGACGGGUA
RNAcentral lists this ribosomal RNA (255 nucleotides) under uncultured bacterium. RNAcentral's name for it is "partial small subunit ribosomal RNA". It matches the Rfam family "Bacterial small subunit ribosomal RNA", at positions 26 to 285 of the family's 1533-position model. The record is from RNAcentral.